CCUACGGGAGGCAGCAGUGGGGAAUAUUGGACAAUGGGCGGAAGCCUGAUCCAGCCAUGCCGCGUGUGUGAAGAAGGCCUUUUGGUUGUAAAGCACUUUAAGCGAGGAGGAGGCUACUAGUACUAAUACUACUGGAUAGUGGACGUUACUCGCAGAAUAAGCACCGGCUAACUCUGUGCCAGCAGCCGCGGUAAUACAGAGGGUGCGAGCGUUAAUCGGAUUUACUGGGCGUAAAGCGUGCGUAGGCGGCUUUUUAAGUCGGAUGUGAAAUCCCCGAGCUUAACUUGGGAAUUGCAUUCGAUACUGGGAAGCUAGAGUAUGGGAGAGGAUGGUAGAAUUCCAGGUGUAGCGGUGAAAUGCGUAGAGAUCUGGAGGAAUACCGAUGGCGAAGGCAGCCAUCUGGCCUAAUACUGACGCUGAGGUACGAAAGCAUGGGGAGCAAACAGGAUUAGAUACCCUGGUAGUCCAUGCCGUAAACGAUGUCUACUAGCCGUUGGGGCCCUUUGAGGCUUUAGUGGCGCAGCUAACGCGAUAAGUGACCGCCUGGGGAGUACGGUGCAAGCUAAACUUAAAGGAAUUGACGGNNGAGAGNGCGAGGCGACGACGAGGGGAGGAGG
This 617-nucleotide ribosomal RNA is filed under the name uncultured bacterium. RNAcentral's name for it is "bacterial SSU rRNA". It matches the Rfam family "Bacterial small subunit ribosomal RNA", at positions 338 to 948 of the family's 1533-position model. The record is from RNAcentral.